AACGCUGGCGGCGUGCCUAAUACAUGCAAGUCGAGCGGACCAAAAUGAAAGUUUACUUUCAUUUUGGUUAGCGGCGGACGGGUGAGUAACACGUGGGUAACCUGCCUGUAAGACUGGGAUAACUCCGGGAAACCGGGGCUAAUACCGGAUAACUUCUUUCCUCGCAUGAGGAAAGAUUAAAAGAUGGCUUUUGCUAUCACUUACAGAUGGACCCGCGGCGCAUUAGCUAGUUGGUGAGGUAACGGCUCACCAAGGCGACGAUGCGUAGCCGACCUGAGAGGGUGAUCGGCCACACUGGGACUGAGACACGGCCCAGACUCCUACGGGAGGCAGCAGUAGGGAAUCUUCCGCAAUGGACGAAAGUCUGACGGAGCAACGCCGCGUGAGUGAUGAAGGUCUUCGGAUCGUAAAACUCUGUUGUUAGAGAAGAACAAGUACCGUUCGAAUAGGGCGGUACCUUGACGGUACCUAACCAGAAAGCCACGGCUAACUACGUGCCAGCAGCCGCGGUAAUACGUAGGUGGCAAGCGUUGUCCGGAAUUAUUGGGCGUAAAGCGCGCGCAGGCGGUUUCUUAAGUCUGAUGUGAAAGCCCACGGCUCAACCGUGGAGGGUCAUUGGAAACUGGGAGACUUGAGUGCA
Molecule: ribosomal RNA, 640 nt
Filed under: uncultured bacterium
Lineage: Bacteria
Description: bacterial SSU rRNA
Rfam family: Bacterial small subunit ribosomal RNA
Source: RNAcentral